GGCGAGUGAAGCGGGAAGAGCUCAAAUUUGAAAUCUGGCGGCCUUUGGUCGUCCGAGUUGUAGUCUGGAGAAGCGUCUUCCGCGCCGGACCGUGUACAAGUCCCUUGGAACGGGGCGUCAUAGAGGGUGAGAAUCCCGUCUUUGACACGGACCGCCGGUGCUUUGUGAUGCGCUCUCAAAGAGUCGAGUUGUUUGGGAAUGCAGCUCAAAACGGGUGGUAAAUUCCAUCUAAAGCUAAAUAUUGGCGAAAGACCGAUAGCGAACAAGUACCGUGAGGGAAAGAUGAAAAGCACUUUGGAAAGAGAGUUAAACAGUACGUGAAAUUGUUGAAAGGGAAACGCUUGAAGUCAGUCGCGUCUCUCGGGACUCAGCCUUGCUUUUGCCUGGCGUACUUCCUGAGGUGACGGGCCAGCAUCGAUUUUGACCGUCGGAGAAAGGCCUUGGGAAUGUGGCACCUCCGGGUGUGUUAUAGCCCUGGGUCGCAUGCGACGGUUGGGAUCGAGGACCGCAGCACGCCUUUUUGGCCGGGGUUCGCCCACGUAACGUGCUUAGGAUGCUGGCGUAAUGGCUUUAAGCGACCCGUCUUGAAACACGGACCAAGGAGUCUAACAUGCCCGCGAGUGUUUGGGUGGAAAACCCGGACGCGUAAUGAAAGUGAAAUGUUGGGACCUCUGUCGCGGAGGGCACCGACGCCCGGACCAGACCUUCUGUGACGGCUCCGAGGUAGAGCGUGCAUGCUGGGACCCGAAAGAUGGUGAACUAUGCCUGAGUAGGGUGAAGCCAGAGGAAACUCUGGUGGAGGCUCGUAGCGAUUCUGACGUGCAAAUCGAUCGUCGAACUUGGGUAUAGGGGCGAAAGACUAAUCGA
RNAcentral lists this ribosomal RNA (867 nucleotides) under Gomphus clavatus. RNAcentral describes it as "partial large subunit ribosomal RNA". It matches the Rfam family "Eukaryotic large subunit ribosomal RNA", at positions 88 to 938 of the family's 3401-position model. The record is from RNAcentral. Lineage: Eukaryota; Fungi; Basidiomycota; Agaricomycetes; Gomphales; Gomphaceae.